UUGAUCUCAAAUCAGGUAGGACUACCCGCUGAACUUAAGCAUAUCAAUAAGCGGAGGAAAAGAAACUAACAAGGAUUCCCCUAGUAACUGCGAGUGAAGCGGGAAGAGCUCAAAUUUAAAAUCUGGUGUGCCUCUGGUCACCCGAGUUGUAGUCUGGAGAAGCGUUUUCUGUGUUGGGCCGUGUAUAAGUCCCUUGGAACAGGGCGUCAUAGAGGGUGAGAAUCCCGUCUUUGACACGGACUGCCAAUGCUUUGUGAUGCGCUCUCAAAGAGUCGAGUUGUUUGGGAAUGCAGCUCAAAAUGGGUGGUAAAUUCCAUCUAAAGCUAAAUAUAGGCGAGAGAC
This 342-nucleotide ribosomal RNA is filed under the name Tomentella sp. TAA195007. RNAcentral's name for it is "eukaryotic LSU rRNA". It matches the Rfam family "Eukaryotic large subunit ribosomal RNA", at positions 1 to 334 of the family's 3401-position model. Lineage: Eukaryota; Fungi; Basidiomycota; Agaricomycetes; Thelephorales; Thelephoraceae. RNAcentral also lists the same sequence under 1 other name. The record is from RNAcentral.